GAACAAAUCGCAUUGGUGCGCAGCCCUGCCAGCGCCAGCUGUUGGGGGCUCUGAGUGUUUUGGAUUUUUGGGGUCUCUCUCAGUAUUAUUGUGGGGCUGCCUGCCUCUCACGUAACUACGCCAAGUGUUUGCUUAUAAUUAGUGCAAGUGGAUUGGAGCAAAUACUCCCCCCCUCUCGAGUGCAAGUGACCGCCACCGCCGUUCAAAGAGCAACGUACGGUACUUUAAAACUCUCCACCAACAAAGGAAAGGAGCCACCCGCCCCCCACUGGUGGGUCAUCGAUGUGUGACUUUCGCCCGAAGGCCCUGAACGACACAGGAAUCAAAUGAAACAAAGCAGUCUCCAGUCCCCCGCCCACACGUAUACAGGGCAGGCGCGCCAGUAAAGAAGAGCUUCUUUGUUGUCUUGUUUUUAUGUUGGUUGGUUGUUCCAUUUCAUUUGCAACGGAAGAGAAGCCAUCACGCAUAGCCGCCAGAGAUCUCUUACAGCAACAGGCAGCAGCACAAGCAGCGGCACAGGCAACAUGACUGAGAGCGAGGAACUGAUGAACAAGUAUGGCGAGCCCUUGCGCUAUGAUCGGAAUUUCAAGGGACCACGUCAGCGGGAUCGCAGCUGCACGGAUGUGCCCUGCCUGCUGCUGUUCGUACUCUUCCUGGCUGGUUGGGGCUUCAUUGCCCACUAUGCGAUCACCCAUGGCGAUCUCAACAAGCUGAUGGUGCCGACGGACUCGUUCAAUCAGAAGUGCGGCAUCGAUUCGCCUGUUCUGCACAAAAAGAAUUUGUUCUUCUUCAAUCUGGAGCAGUGCAUUGACCCGCUCGUGCCGAUUACUGGCUGCCCCACACCACAAGUAUGCGUGGAGAGCUGUCCCACACAAACGUUCAUCUGGGACACCAUGCACGACAGCCUGAGCUAUGAGGAGCUGAGGAGUCGGCUCAUCUGUUUGACGGAUGAGCACAAGGCGAAAAUUCGCAGCAAAGCCGAUAUGCAGCGGGCCAUCGAUCAGAAUCUCUGCGCUCGCUGGUACAUCAAGAGUGCGCCCUUCCUCAAUCGCUGUUUAUUCGAGUUCUCGCCACAGAUGUGCGAGUUUAUUCCCUCGUUUCUGCUGAAGGGCGGUCGGUCGCGUCGCCAGCUAAUGCUGCCCGGCAAUGCCACGUCGGAGCCGGAACUGCAGGCCCAAGCCAUGGCUCUGAGCAUGUCUCAGGCUUUGGUGCUGCCGCAAUCGAACGGCAGGCUGGAGCCCGUGGAAGAAGAGCCAGCGGUGCAGUGCCGACGAAGGCUGAACGAUGCCGUGAUCAAGGAGAAGAUGAAACAAACGGACACACGGCUGGCCAAGAUGGUGGGCAACCUGGUGGCGCAUUUCUACAACGGCACCCACGAUGCCCAGCGGCUGGGCGAGGAGAUUGUCGAGGAUCUUGUCAAUUCCUGGUCCAUUAUCCUGGUGGCCUGCUUCUGUACUUUGAUCGCCUCGCUGGUGUUUAUUGCCCUGAUGCGUUGGCUCUCGGCGCCCAUACUGUGGUUCUCUAUCUUUGGCGUCCUCACCGGCCUUCUGGUUGCCAUCUAUUACACCGUCCGGCAGUACAUCUUCUGGGAGAAGACGCCCACCGUCCCGAUACAUGGUCUCAAUCUGCAGUCGACGGUGAAGAAUGUUCUGCAGAACCAAAAGACCUGGCUCUAUCUGUCCAUCUUUGUGGGCGUGUGUUUUGUGGUGAUCCUGCUGUUGGUGAUUGUCCUGCGGAAGCGCAUCCGCAUUGCCAUCGCCCUGACCAAGGAGGGCAGCAAGGCCGUCAGCAGUGUCUUCAGCACCGUCUUCUUUCCCAUCUUCUCGUGGGUGCUCUUCAUAGCCGCGAUCGCCUUUGCCAUCGGCGUGGGUCUCUAUUUGGGCUCCAUAGGACAACUAUCGUUUCGCAUGGUGCAGCGCCUGAACGAAGCCGGCGAAGUGACCAAGGAGCGCUGCGUGUGCGAGGGUCCAGCCAUCAACUAUACGGUGGGCAGUGCCUGCGAUCCGCAGUUGUUUGAAAAGCACUGCUACAAUCCGGAGGCCUCGACGACCGGCUUCUUCCAGCAAUCGCAGCGAGUGGCCUGCUCCCAGACGACAUGCAGCUUCCUGGACAUCGACAAUCCGCCGCUGAUCAAAUGGGCCAUUUUCUACAACAUUUUCGGCUUCCUCUGGCUGAGCUUCUUUAUUUCUGCCUUCAGCGACAUGGUGCUGGCGGCCACAUUUGCCAGCUGGUAUUGGACGUUCAAGAAGCGCGAUGUGCCCUACUUUACGCUGGCACGAGCCUUCGGCCAGACGGCCUUCUACCAUUUGGGGACGCUGGCCUUUGGAUCGCUCAUCCUGGCCGUGGUGCGUCUCAUCCGCCUGGUGCUGGAGUACAUCAAUGAGAAGCUGAAGAAGUACGACAAUGCUGUGACCAGGGCGAUACUCUGCUGCAUGCGCUGCUUCUUCUGGCUGCUGGAGACAUUCCUGAAGUUCCUCAAUCGGAAUGCGUACAUCAUGUGCGCCAUCCAUGGCAAGAGCUUUUGCACCAGCGCCAAGGAUGCCUUCAAUCUGAUAAUGCGCAACUUUUUGCGGGUCAUAACCUUGGAUCAGGUCACCGACUUUCUCUUCUUUAUAUCCAAGCUGCUGCUCACGGCCGGUGCGGGCGUGGCCACCUAUUAUUUUCUGGCCAACAAUCCGGCCAUUGUGCAGCUCCAUCAUAGGGCUGUGCCCACCACAGUCGUCGUGAUAGCAGCCUUUCUCAUAACCAGCGUGUUCUUUGGCGUCUACUCGACGGCCGUGGACACGUUGUUCUUGUGCUUCCUCGAGGAUUGCGAGCGAAACGAUGGCACGCCGGAAAAGCCCUUCUUCAUGUCCAAGCAGCUAAUGAAGAUUCUAGGAAAGAAGAACAAGCUGCCGCCACGUCAGCGUCGCAGCAAAUAGAGGAAAAUCGAAAUGACAGUGCAAACUAAAAGAUAAUGGAAACUCAUCUAUAUACAUAUAUUUAUAAAUAUUAUUACAUAUAUCCCAUACCUUAUCUAUUGGGUUGUGAGCCCCAUUGCUCAAAGCCUCAGAGGAUGACGAGAAGUAGAGCUGCAAUAAGAUUUACAUGAAAUUUACACUACUUAAACCCUAUGUAAAUUUGAUUUGAAAAACGAAGACGGAGGAAGGAAACGUCUGUCUGGACAUCAUGUGAUAAGCGCAUACGACACUAAAGACCAAAAGCAAUAUAAAACCUUUAAAAAAAAAAACAUUUACA
Molecule: RNA transcript, 3237 nt
Organism: Drosophila pseudoobscura
Lineage: Eukaryota; Metazoa; Arthropoda; Insecta; Diptera; Drosophilidae
Gene: Ctl2
Gene name: Choline transporter-like 2
Exons: 5
Source: RefSeq, a predicted model, not a curated record